AUAGAGAGUAAAUAGAAUCCCCAUAUAUGCUGUGGAAUUGGCCGCAGUGUUUCUACCAGGACACCGUAAUGUCCGGACUAUGCGGGAAAGCGACUUUCAG
Molecule: non-coding RNA, 100 nt
Organism: Sporosarcina psychrophila
Lineage: Bacteria; Bacillati; Bacillota; Bacilli; Caryophanales; Caryophanaceae
Source: Rfam